Molecule: ribosomal RNA, 134 nt
Filed under: uncultured Propionigenium sp.
Lineage: Bacteria; Fusobacteriati; Fusobacteriota; Fusobacteriia; Fusobacteriales; Fusobacteriaceae
Description: partial 16S ribosomal RNA
Rfam family: Bacterial small subunit ribosomal RNA
Source: RNAcentral
ACAAGUCUGAUCCAGCAAUUCUGUGUGUUUGAUGAAGGCCUUCGGGUUGUAAAGAACUUUCAGUGGGGAAGAAGCAAGUGACGGUACCCACAGAAGAAGCGACGGCUAAAUACGUGCCAGCAGCCGCGGUAAUG